RNAcentral lists this ribosomal RNA (243 nucleotides) under uncultured Eubacteriales bacterium. Its description in RNAcentral is "uncultured Clostridiales bacterium partial 16S ribosomal RNA". It matches the Rfam family "Bacterial small subunit ribosomal RNA", at positions 796 to 1041 of the family's 1533-position model. Lineage: Bacteria; Bacillati; Bacillota; Clostridia; Eubacteriales. The record is from RNAcentral.
CACGCCGUAAACGAUGAGCACUAGGUGUCGGGGUCGCAAGGCCUCGGUGCCGGAGUUAACGCAAUAAGUGCUCCGCCUGGGGAGUACGGCCGCAAGGCUAAAACUCAAAGGAAUUGACGGGGACCCGCACAAGCAGCGGAGCAUGUGGUUUAAUUCGAAGCAACGCGAAGAACCUUACCGGGACUUGACAUCCUGCUGACAGACCCGUAAUCGGGUCCUCCUACGGGCAGAAGAGACAGGUGG